RNAcentral lists this microRNA precursor (61 nucleotides) under Limulus polyphemus (Atlantic horseshoe crab). RNAcentral's name for it is "Lpo-Mir-190-P13_pre stem-loop". It matches the Rfam family "mir-190 microRNA precursor family", at positions 10 to 69 of the family's 78-position model. The record is from RNAcentral. Lineage: Eukaryota; Metazoa; Arthropoda; Merostomata; Xiphosura; Limulidae.
AGAUAUGUUUGAUAUUCUUGGUUGUUGCAUUUUUUUCAACCAGAAAUCAGACAUAUGCUUA